This is a non-coding RNA of Podarcis lilfordi (Lilford's wall lizard), 76 nucleotides long. The record is from the annotation of a GenBank genome assembly. Lineage: Eukaryota; Metazoa; Chordata; Lepidosauria; Squamata; Lacertidae.
UUUGCAUAUAGCUCAGUUGGUAGAGCAUGAGACUCUUAAUCUCAGGGUCAUGGAUUCCAGCCGCACGUUAGGAAAA